UCACAGGGCUGACACAUAGACACAGACAACCAUUCACACUCACACCUAUGGUCAGUUUAGAGUCACCAGUUAACCUAACCUGCAUGUUUUUGGACUGUGGGGGAAACCGGAGCACCCAGAGGAAACCCACACAGACACGGGGAGAACAUGCAAACUCUGCACAGAAAGGCCCUCGUCGACCGCGGGGCUCGAACCCGGUCCCUCUUGCUGUGAGGCGACAGCGCUAACCACUACAUCACCGUGCCACCCAUAGGCGGUUUUAAACGGGGGCCGGGGGGGCCAGUGCCCCUGUAAAAUUGCUCCUGGCCCCUGUUGUGGCCCCUGUGCUGAACAGAUAAUAAGAUUUAUUAUUUUCGACAUGCGCUGGCUCAAAGAUCGGAACUGACAUGACGGAGUGUUCUACACGGACUCCUUAAAGCGCUACACGCACACUGUUACCUGCAGCAGAAAGACCAGCAGCAGCAUGAAUUGUAAACUUCGGAUGUGAGAGAUAACAGCUGCAGCCCUGCAAGGACUAGGCUACUGCAAAGAGGCGAAGUAUAGGCCUACUGUAGGCUGUCAUCAUGGAAAGGAGCAAGAAGGAGAUUAUGUCCUUUUUUGCCCCUGUUGGCAAAAAGCAACAUAGAGAGAGUAAGGAAGAUGAAGAUUAAGAAAGAGGAGAGAGAGCCAGAGGUGGAGAGAGAGCCAGAGGUGGUGGUUGGAGAGGUGGAAAGUGAGGCAUCUGAAAGGCAAUCUGAGAGUGAGGAUGAAGACAUUCAGGAUCAGAUUGAGGGACAGAAUGAGGGACAACCCAACGAGUCAUUGGGACAACCAGAUUCACCAUGCAUAUCAAGUACAGCACCAUCAGAUAUCAGCAAGUGCUUGGACGACACUCCAGUACAGCCACAUCUGAAGAAAAGGUUCAUUUUAUGCAAAAAUAGAAAUCUUAUUUUACAAAAAAGAGAAACAUGGUUUUAAGAUUUAUUGAGCACAAUUUAUUUUAUGUUUAGGCUAUUGAGACAGAAUGUUUCUCAUUGUAUU
Molecule: long non-coding RNA, 1020 nt
Organism: Neoarius graeffei (lesser salmon catfish)
Lineage: Eukaryota; Metazoa; Chordata; Actinopteri; Siluriformes; Ariidae
Exons: 3
Source: RefSeq, a predicted model, not a curated record